AUGAAACACUCCUACGGGAGGCAGCAGUAAGGGAUAUUGCGCAAUGGACGAAAGUCUGACGCAGCGACGCCGCGUGGGGGAUGAAGGUCUUCGGAUUGUAAACCCCUUUCGGGAGGGAAGAUGGAGUGGGUAACCACUUGGACGGUACCUCCAGAAGCAGCCACGGCUAACUUCGUGCCAGCAGCCGCGGUAAUACGAAGGUGGCAAGCGUUGUUCGGAUUCACUGGGCGUACAGGGAGCGUAGGCGGUUGGGUAAGCCCUCCGUGAAAUCUCCGGGCCUAACCCGGAAAGUGCAGAGGGGACUGCUCAGCUAGAGGAUGGGAGAGGAGCGCGGAAUUCCCGGUGUAGCGGUGAAAUGCGUAGAGAUCGGGAGGAAGGCCGGUGGCGAAGGCGGCGCUCUGGAACAUUUCUGACGCUGAGGCUCGAAAGCGUGGGGAGCAAACAGGAUUAGAAACCCUUGUAGUCCGAAGUUC
This 473-nucleotide ribosomal RNA is filed under the name uncultured bacterium. Its description in RNAcentral is "bacterial SSU rRNA". It matches the Rfam family "Bacterial small subunit ribosomal RNA", at positions 328 to 802 of the family's 1533-position model. The record is from RNAcentral.